CCUACGGGCGGCUGCAGUGGGGAAUAUUGGACAAUGGGGGGAACCCUGAUCCAGCCAUGCCGCGUGUGUGAAGAAGGCCCUCGGGGUGUAAAGCACUUUCAGUGAGGAAGAACGCCUGGUGGUUAAUACCCAUCAGGAAAGACAUCACUCACAGAAGAAGCACCGGCUAACUCCGUGCCAGCAGCCGCGGUAAUACGGAGGGUGCGAGCGUUAAUCGGAAUUACUGGGCGUAAAGCGCGCGUAGGUGGCUUGAUAAGCCGGUUGUGAAAGCCCCGGGCUCAACCUGGGAACGGCAUCCGGAACUGUCAAGCUAGAGUGCAGGAGAGGAAGGUAGAAUUCGCGGUGUAGCGGUGAAAUGCGUAGAGAUCGGGAGGAAUACCAGUGGCGAAGGCGGCCUUCUGGACUGACACUGACACUGAGGUGCGAAAGCGUGGGUAGCAAACAGGAUUAGAUACCCUAGUAGUC
This 465-nucleotide ribosomal RNA is filed under the name Vreelandella stevensii. RNAcentral describes it as "partial 16S ribosomal RNA". It matches the Rfam family "Bacterial small subunit ribosomal RNA", at positions 338 to 795 of the family's 1533-position model. The record is from RNAcentral. Lineage: Bacteria; Pseudomonadati; Pseudomonadota; Gammaproteobacteria; Oceanospirillales; Halomonadaceae.